CCUACGGGAGGCAGCAGUGAGGAAUUUUGCGCAAUAGGGGAAACCCUGACGCAGCAACGCCGCGUGAGUGAAGAAGGCCCUCGGGUCGUAAAGCUCUGUCAAGUGGGAAAAAAGCUUGCUGGUUAAUAGCCAGUAAGACUGGAUGGUACCAUUGAAGGAAGCACCGGCUAACUCCGUGCCAGCAGCCGCGGUAAU
RNAcentral lists this ribosomal RNA (195 nucleotides) under uncultured bacterium. Its description in RNAcentral is "partial 16S ribosomal RNA". It matches the Rfam family "Bacterial small subunit ribosomal RNA", at positions 338 to 524 of the family's 1533-position model. The record is from RNAcentral.